UUUCACAAGGUGGAAGAGAUAUGUAAAUAGCUGUCGCUGGUGAUGUGUGCAUAAUUGAAAGGCAUAAAAUUAUUUUAAAAAGUUAACAGUGAUUAAGUUCUUAGAAAACACUGCAGAGGGAGAAAUAGUUGCAAAUGGCAGCUCCAAGUAUCUCAAAUUUUAACAUGCAAAUAGAACUCCAGGGGAUCUUAUGGAAGUAGACUCUGAUUUAGUAGAUUUGGAAUAGGACCUGAAUAAUUGCGUUUUUUUUUUUUUUUGGUCUUUUUAGGGCCACUCCUAGCCUGGGAACCUCCAUAUGCUGUGGGUGUGGCCCCAGAAAAGACAAAAAGAAAACAAACAAACAAACAAACAAACCCUGCCUCCAAGAAAACCUCCCGAAAGGAAUGUGGACAUUAUGCUUUAAUAUUUGAAAGACAGAUCUGGAGACUACCCUUAGCGGGUUCCUCCUCCCUCCUCUGAAUUUUUCGAUGUUGCUUUUUGCCAUGGCAACAGUAGACUUUUGCCUUUUCCAAUGGAAAAAGCUAGAAGCAGUCCAAAUAAACAAAUACCAGCACCACAAGGAAACAAACCACACCAACCCCAAAUCUCACACUUAAUCACUCAGAAAAUAUCCUUCAUUAAGUUGACAAUGUUCAUGGAGCAUGGAAGUCGCACCCACAGUCUUCUUGCCUUGGUUUGGCUGUCGGACACUAUGAGCGUGGCUUGUUCCUUCUCCUUUUUGUCACCCAUGGCUUUGUAUCCCAGGGUAGAAGGUCAGAAAGAGGCUCAAGGGAAGGUUCUCCUUUGUCCUUCUGAGCCUGAGGGCCCGGUGAGCUUUUCAGAGUGGCGAGAAGGGCCUGGAAGACUACCUCACUGAGGGAUGUUUCCAUGCCUCCCACAAGUUCCUCUUCCUGUGAGUCCAUUUUCAGGAAAGGGCCUGCACAGAAUGUCUGUGUCUGAAGAGAGUUUGUCUAGGAGUCUUGAUGAGGCUUGGAGGGCUGAUGCUGGUGCUGCAGGUCCAGGAGAGGGCAUGUCUCUUAAUUUGCAUGUGCAGGCUGCAGAAUCACCCCUUGCCUGGGCUGUCCCCUGGCAAGGACAGCUUGGGCCCCUGGCCCCACCACUGUGGGGCCUGGGAGGUGCAUGGCUGAGCCAGAUGCUGCAGAGAGUUGUCAAGGCCAGGCUGAAGGGCAUCCUGGAGACUAUGUGCUGCCAUGGUAGUGUGCAGGUUGUUCUGGCAUGCUCCUCCCUGUGAUGGGGGCCAGAGAGCUGUGUGAAUAGGGUAGAGACCACCUCUGGGAAUGGGUCCCAUGGAAGAGUGACUCAGGACAGUUCCCAGAGGUAGGGUUUUCUCUUCCCUGCAGAGCCAGCCUGGGCUGGACCAGCAUAAACAUCAAUGGCUGGCCCCACAGCCCCCAGAGGGAACCCAGGCACAAAGAAGGCAAGGGAUAAAGGAGGAGCACCUUUGGCAAAGAAUGCAUGCCCUCAGGUGGAUCCGAGGGAGGAAAAGGAUGAGAGCCUUGUGGGGAGUGGAAGGAGGCUUUGGUUCAAGGGAGCCGUCAGGGCUGGUCUGGUAUCAGGGUCUCCUGUCAGGACAUCCACAAGCCUACCUGUGCUCUGCUCUGGGUGCCAAGCUCUUUGGUUCUGAAACCAUAUAUAGGAGGAGUUCUUAUUGUGGUGCAGUGGGAAUGAAUCUGACUAGCAUCCAUGAGGACACAGGUUAGAUCCCUGGCCUUACUCAGUGGGUCGGGGAUCCAGCAUUGCCGUGAGCUGUGG
Molecule: long non-coding RNA, 1752 nt
Filed under: Sus scrofa (pig)
Lineage: Eukaryota; Metazoa; Chordata; Mammalia; Artiodactyla; Suidae
Description: lncRNA (ENSSSCG00045024790.1)
Source: RNAcentral